AUACAGAGUGUGUUUGGUUCUCUUCUCUGUCAAGCCUGGCUAGAAAAACAAACCAGGCCAAUCCAAGCCUUCACUAUCUCAAAUACAGUCACCUCCUCCAUGUUUCGGUAACAUUAUCCCUUUUAGGCAUUGUGUCGAACAGUUGGUUGGCGAGAGAAGAAGAAGACAGUGGAGGAGCUCGCACAAGGUCGGCAUGGCUCUAUUAGUUGAUCACUGGUGUGUUUGAUUUCUGGUCCAAAGGCCUGACCGAGCCGCUAGGCUGCAAUCGGCCUUAUUUGAUUUGUUGGGCCCACAAACAAGGCAAGCCCGCCAUGUGCAAAAACACCUCUUCUCAUCUGGUUCCUAGCAAUACUAAAAAAAUUGUAAACAAUCUUGCGGCUCGCGAUUUUGUCGAGUCUAUGUUUAUUAAUGACAGGCCAUGAGGGCCAAAGUGAACUUAAAAAAACUUUUUUGGAGAUAGGUGAAAUGGGUUAACCGAAGUGGGCAUCACAACUGCCUCGAUCUUAAGGUCUUGGUAAAUUGAUCUUUCUCAAGGUGGUUCAAAUGUCUCAGUAAAUUAAAUAAAAACAAAAAAAAAUCCUACACAGGCCUAGAUCUAGGCUUCACACUGCCGCCAUCGAUCCGCUCACUAUGACACCGUCGCCGCUAAUCCGCUGCCCCAAGCGCCGUGAGCACCGCCAGGAGGAGGGAGCCGGGGCGUGCGAGCACCAGCGGGAAGAGGAGGGCUAGGGGUCGUGUGCCACGCCAAAGGAGAGGGAGGAGGGGGCCAGGAGACACAUCGUUGCCCAAAUCUAGACCCGUGAGUGUCGUUGGGUGGAGGGAGCUGGGCCCCAUUGAAGGGUCCUAAUGGCUAGAGGGGGUGAAUAGCCUAAUAAAAAUUCUAGAACAACACUAAAGCAACUUGAUUAGGCAAAAGGAUGACGAAGCGAAUGUUGCACUAGUCUACUAAAAGAGCAAGCUACCUACUAACAAUUCUAGUAGUUAUGAUCUCUAAGCACCUCAAGGCUAAGUCACUACUUUCUACACUAGAGAAGCUAGCUAGAACUAAGAAUAGCUGAGCUAAAGAACUAGCUACAUCUACUACUAGAGCUACACAAACAAACUACAACAAAGGAUAGAAGGGUUAUUGCUCCUCGUAGUGGAAGGAGCAAAGCAAUCACAAGAUAGAAUGCCAAAGAAUACCAAUCACCUCAAAAUAAAAUAAUUGACACAAUGAUUUUUUUAUCGAGGUUCACUUGCUUGCCAGCAAACUAGUCCUCAUUGUGGCAAUUCACUCACUUGGAGGUCUAUGGUCUUAAUGGCCUCACACACCAACCC
This 1317-nucleotide long non-coding RNA is filed under the name Sorghum bicolor (sorghum). Its description in RNAcentral is "long non-coding RNA (SBIC_LNC013485)". The record is from RNAcentral. Lineage: Eukaryota; Viridiplantae; Streptophyta; Magnoliopsida; Poales; Poaceae.